GGAAGAAGAAAGAGAUGAUGAGAAAUGCAAAUUGUUUGUGAGCUUUAGAUUGAUGUACCAAGCCAAUAGUUAUAUUGCAAAAUAUCUAUUUUUUUUUGUUUGUUAAUUUUAUUUUUUUGGAUUAUAACUAAUGCUGUAAAUAGUUAUUGUUUGUCACUGUUCUGGAAGCAAAUACUAGUCUAACUUUCUAGGAAAGGUGUUCCUAAUUCUUGCUUGGGUGAUUGAAUUUUGUAUU
RNAcentral lists this long non-coding RNA (235 nucleotides) under Citrus sinensis (sweet orange). RNAcentral describes it as "long non-coding RNA (CSIN_LNC004181)". The record is from RNAcentral. Lineage: Eukaryota; Viridiplantae; Streptophyta; Magnoliopsida; Sapindales; Rutaceae.